UGAGAUUUUAACACGAAGUGAGUGGCGGACGGGUGAGUAACACGUGGGUAACCUGCCCAGAAGCAGGGGAUAACACCUGGAAACAGAUGCUAAUACCGUAUAACAGAGAAAACCGCCUGGUUUUCUUUUAAAAGAUGGCUCUGCUAUCACUUCUGGAUGGACCCGCGGCGCAUUAGCUAGUUGGUGAGGUAACGGCUCACCAAGGCGAUGAUGCGUAGCCGACCUGAGAGGGUAAUCGGCCACAUUGGGACUGAGACACGCCCAGACUCCUACGGGAGG
RNAcentral lists this ribosomal RNA (279 nucleotides) under Pediococcus acidilactici. Its description in RNAcentral is "partial 16S ribosomal RNA". It matches the Rfam family "Bacterial small subunit ribosomal RNA", at positions 73 to 348 of the family's 1533-position model. Lineage: Bacteria; Bacillati; Bacillota; Bacilli; Lactobacillales; Lactobacillaceae. The record is from RNAcentral.